CGAGCUGCGUGCUUACACAUGCAAGUCGAACGCUGAAGCCGACACCUUGCUGUUGGUGGAUGAGUGGCAAAGGGGUGAGUAACACGUGAGUAACCUGCCCCUGAUUUCAGGAUAAGCCUGGGAAACUGGGUCUAAUACCGGAUACCACCAAUCCUCGCGUGAGGGUUGGUGGAAAGUUUUUCUAACGGGGAUGGGCUCGCGGCCUAUCAGCUUGUUGGUGGGGUAAUGGCCUACCAAGGCGACGACGGGUAGCCGGCCUGAAAGGGCGACCGGCCACACUGGGACUGAGACACGGCCCAGACUCCUACGGGAGGCAGCAUUGGGGAAUAUUGCACAAUGGGGGAAACCCUGAUGCAGCGACGCAACGUGCGGGAUGACGGCCUUCGGGUUGUAAACCGCUUUCACAGGGAAGAAGCGAAAGUGACGGUACUGCCGAAGAAGUACCGGCUAACUACGUGCCAACUCCCGCGGUAAUACCUAGGGUACGAGCGUUGUCCGGAAUUAUUGGGCAUAAAGAGCUCGUAAGUGGUUGGUCACUUCUGCUGUGGAAACGCAGCGCUAUCCGUUGCCCGUGCAUGGGAUACGGGCUGACUAGAGUGCAUGAUGGGAGUCUGGAGUUCCUGGUGUAGCUCUGAGAUGCGCAGAUAUCUGGAUGAACAUCGGUGGGAAUAGCGGUAGUCUGGGCUGUUACUGACACUGAUGAGCGAAAGCAUGGGGAGCGAACAGGAUUACAUACCCUGGUAGACCCUGCCGUAAACGUUGCCCACUACGUGUGGGGGACAUUCCACGUGCUCCGCACAGUAUCUAACGCCUUAUGUGCCCCUCCUGGGGACGUACUGUCGAAUAGCUAAAACUCGAUAGAAUUGACAUGGAGCUCGACACGAGCGCCCGAGCAUGCUGAUGCAUUGCGAUGUAACUUCGAUGAACCGUCACAAAGCUUGACAUGCACUGAACUGUCUGAAUACUCGUCUCAUCAUCAUUAGAGUCUCGUGUACAAGCUGACGCACGGUGCGUCAGCUCGUGUCUGAUAUGGUCGGUUAAGUCUCGCAUCAAGUCGCCACACUCGCUCUAUCGCUGUCACCUACGUGAUCGAUCGGAUCUAGUAGGAAACUGCAGAUCAGUCCGUAGCAAGCUGGAGAUAGCUCGAAUCACGUGCACCUUUACUGGCUCGUCUGACAAUGCUACAUGUCGUCAUGUAGGUCGAACGUCAGUCUAGCAUGCAGUUCAGCUGUACUAAGCCUGAU
This 1244-nucleotide ribosomal RNA is filed under the name Brevibacterium linens. RNAcentral describes it as "bacterial SSU rRNA". It matches the Rfam family "Bacterial small subunit ribosomal RNA", at positions 36 to 1331 of the family's 1533-position model. Lineage: Bacteria; Bacillati; Actinomycetota; Actinomycetes; Micrococcales; Brevibacteriaceae. The record is from RNAcentral.